This 497-nucleotide ribosomal RNA is filed under the name uncultured bacterium. Its description in RNAcentral is "partial 16S ribosomal RNA". It matches the Rfam family "Bacterial small subunit ribosomal RNA", at positions 28 to 507 of the family's 1533-position model. The record is from RNAcentral.
GAUGAACGCUGGCAGCGUGCCUAAUACAUGCAAGUCGAGCGAACAGACGAGGAGCUUGCUCCUUCGACGUUAGCGGCGGACGGGUGAGUAACACGUAGGUAACCUACCUAUAAGACUGGGAUAACUUCGGGAAACCGGAGCUAAUACCGGAUAAUAUUUCGAACCGCAUGGUUCGAUAGUGAAAGAUGGCUUUGCUAUCACUUAUAGAUGGACCUGCGCCGUAUUAGCUAGUUGGUAAGGUAACGGCUUACCAAGGCAACGAUACGUAGCCGACCUGAGAGGGUGAUCGGCCACACUGGAACUGAGACACGGUCCAGACUCCUACGGGAGGCAGCAGUAGGGAAUCUUCCGCAAUGGGCGAAAGCCUGACGGAGCAACGCCGCGUGAGUGAUGAAGGUCUUCGGAUCGUAAAACUCUGUUAUUAGGGAAGAACAAACGUGUAAGUAACUGUGCACGUCUUGACGGUACCUAAUCAGAAAGCCACGGCUAACUACGUG